AACGGAUCCUUGCCCAUGAGCUGGCGGGACUUGUAGAGAGGGCUUUAAACUAGAUAUGAAGGGGGAAGCGGAUAAAACCAGGCCUGCUAGAGAUGAGCCUGGGGGGGUGAUAAUGGGAUUAGGGAUGAGGUGAGAGACUCAGGUGAAGUGUGUCUACACUAAUGCAUGCAGCAUGGGCAACAAACAAGAAGAGUUGGAAGCCAUUGUGCAACAGGCAAGCUAUAACCUAGUUGCCAUUACGGAAACAUGGUGGGACUGCUCCCAUGACUGGAGUACUGUGAUGGAUGCUACAGACUCUUCAGGAAGGAUAGGCAGGGAAGGAGAGGUGGCAUCGUGGCUCUCUAUGUUAGAGAGUCCUUUGAUGUUACUGAGCUUAUAGCUGGAGAUGAUAAGGUUGAAUCCCUAUAGGUAAAGAUCAGGGGAAGUACUGACAAGGCAGACAUCCUGGUGGGCAUCUGUUAUAGACUGCUGAACCAGGAUUAAGAGACAGAUGAGAUGUUCUACGAGCAACUGGUGGAAGCUGUGCAAUUUCCAGCCCUUGUCCUCAUGGGGGACUUCAACUUCCCUGACAUAUGCUGGGAAUACAACAUAGUGCAGAAGAAGCAGUCUAGAAGGUUUCUGGAGCGUGUGGAGGAUAACUUCCUGAUGCAGCUGGUGAGAGAGCCUAUGAGAGGAGCUGCCCCAUUAGACCUGCUGUUCACAAACAGAUGAGGUCUGGUGGGAGGUGUGGAGAUCGGGGGCUGUCUUGGACAGAGUGACCAUGACAUGGUAGAGUUCUCGAUUCCUGGUGGAGUCAGGAGGGGGAACGGCAAAACCACUACCUUGGACUUCUGGAGGGCAGAUUUUGAACUGUUCAGAAGACUAGUAGAGGGAGUCCUCUGGGAUUCAGUCUUGGAGAGUAAAGGCGUCCAAGAUGGCUGGUAGCUCUUCAAGAAAGAAGUCUUAAAGGCGCAGGAGCAGGCUGUCCCCAUGAGCCGCAAAAUGAGCCGGCGCGGAAGAAGACUGGCGUGGAUGAAUGGGAAGCUAUUCUUGAGGUUCUAGGAGAAAAAGAGAAUCUACCUCCUGUGGAAGAAGGGACUGGCAACUCAGAAAGAAUACAAUGAUGUCAUUAAGAUGUUACGGAGAGAAAAUCAGAAAGGCAAAAGUUUGGUGAUAGCCAAGCUACUUUCCAUCAUCUAUCAGUGCUCCUUCUACUGGUGAGGUCCCAGAAGACUGGAGGCUUGCCAGUGGGACUCCCAUCUACAAGAAGGGUUGUAAGGAGAAUCCAGGGAACUACAGGCUUGUUAGCCUGACCUUGGUGCCAGGCAAGGUUAUGGAGCAGAUUGUCUCAAGGGAGAUCACGCGGCAUUUGUGGGACAACCAGGGGAUCAGGCAAAGCCAGCAUGGGUUCACGAAGGGCAGGUC
RNAcentral lists this long non-coding RNA (1404 nucleotides) under Gallus gallus (chicken). RNAcentral describes it as "lncRNA (ENSGALG00010011733.1)". Lineage: Eukaryota; Metazoa; Chordata; Aves; Galliformes; Phasianidae. The record is from RNAcentral.